UUGUAUCGCCUUAUCGGGCGUUUCCUCCCUAAACUCAGGUCGCCCUUCGGGGCGGCCUUUUUUUAAUUUAUG
This 72-nucleotide small RNA is filed under the name Skermanella aerolata. RNAcentral describes it as "Makes More Granules Regulator RNA (mmgR)". It matches the Rfam family "Makes More Granules Regulator RNA (mmgR)". From Rfam's summary of the family: SuhB later renamed mmgR (makes more granules regulator) was a putative non-coding RNA found multiple times in the Agrobacterium tumefaciens genome and related alpha-proteobacteria. Other non-coding RNAs uncovered in the same analysis include: speF, ybhL, metA, and serC. Several studies inSinorhizobium meliloti showed that suhB element is indeed a non-coding RNA:firstly it was detected on Northern blot and called Sm8RNA, secondly in an RNAseq study referred to as SmelC689. Lineage: Bacteria; Pseudomonadati; Pseudomonadota; Alphaproteobacteria; Rhodospirillales; Azospirillaceae. The record is from Rfam by way of RNAcentral.